CACGCUGUAAACGUUGUAUACUAGGUGUUAGCGGGUUACCGCUAGUGCCGCAGCAAACGCAUUAAGUAUACCGCCUGGGGAGUACGCCCGCAAGGGUGAAACUCAAAGAAAUUGACGGGGGCCCGCACAAGCGGUGGAGCAUGUGGUUUAAUUCGAUGAUACGCGAAAAACCUUACCUGGGCUUGAACUGUGCUUGACAGGUGUAGAGAUACACUCUUCUUCGGACAGGUACAGAGGUGCUGCAUGGUUGUCGUCAGCUCGUGUCGUGAGAUGUUGGGUUAAGUCCCGUAACGAGCGCAACCCUUGUCCUUAGUUGCUAGCAGGUUAAGCUGAGAACUCUAAGGAGACUGCCGGUGACAAACCG
RNAcentral lists this ribosomal RNA (364 nucleotides) under uncultured bacterium. RNAcentral describes it as "bacterial SSU rRNA". It matches the Rfam family "Bacterial small subunit ribosomal RNA", at positions 796 to 1165 of the family's 1533-position model. The record is from RNAcentral.